GACGAACGCUGGCGGCGUGCUUAACACAUGCAAGUCGAACGGAAAGGCCCUGCUUUUGUGGGGUGCUCGAGUGGCGAACGGGUGAGUAACACGUGAGUAACCUGCCCUUGACUUUGGGAUAACUUCAGGAAACUGGGGCUAAUACCGGAUAGGAGCUCCUGCUGCAUGGUGUGGGUUGGAAAGUUUCGGCGGUUGGGGAUGGACUCGCGGCUUAUCAGCUUGUUGGUGGGGUAGUGGCUUACCAAGGCUUUGACGGGUAGCCGGCCUGAGAGGGUGACCGGCCACAUUGGGACUGAGAUACGGCCCAGACUCCUACGGGAGGCAGCAGUGGGGAAUAUUGCACAAUGGGCGGAAGCCUGAGGCAGCAACGCCGCGUGCGGGAUGACGGCCUUCGGGUUGUAAACCGCUUUCGCCUGUGACGAAGCGUGAGUGACGGUAAUGGGUAAAGAAGCACCGGCUAACUACGUG
Molecule: ribosomal RNA, 468 nt
Filed under: uncultured bacterium
Lineage: Bacteria
Description: partial 16S ribosomal RNA
Rfam family: Bacterial small subunit ribosomal RNA
Source: RNAcentral